GAGUUUGAUCUUGGCUCAGAUUGAACGCUGGCGGCAGGCCUAACACAUGCAAGUCGGGCGGUAGAGAGAAGCUUGCUUCUCUUGAGAGCGGGCGGACGGGUGAGUAAUGCCUAGGAAUCUGCCUGGUAGUGGGGGAUAACGCUCGGAAACGGACGCUAAUACCGCAUACGUCCUACGGGAGAAAGCAGGGGACCUUCGGGCCUUGCGCUAUCAGAUGAGCCUAGGUCGGAUUAGCUAGUUGGUGAGGUAAUGGCUCACCAAGGCGACGAUCCGUAACUGGUCUGAGAGGAUGAUCAGUCACACUGGAACUGAGACACGGUCCAGACUCCUACGGGAGGCAGCAGUGGGGAAUAUUGGACAAUGGGCGAAAGCCUGAUCCAGCCAUGCCGCGUGUGUGAAGAAGGUCUUCGGAUUGUAAGGCACUUUAAGUUGGGAGGAAGGGCAGUAAAUUAAUACUUUGCUGUUUUGACGUUACCGACAGAAUAAGCACCGGCUAACUCUGUGCCAGCCGCCGACGG
RNAcentral lists this ribosomal RNA (518 nucleotides) under uncultured bacterium. RNAcentral describes it as "bacterial SSU rRNA". It matches the Rfam family "Bacterial small subunit ribosomal RNA", at positions 9 to 520 of the family's 1533-position model. The record is from RNAcentral.